This 475-nucleotide ribosomal RNA is filed under the name uncultured organism. RNAcentral's name for it is "partial 16S ribosomal RNA". It matches the Rfam family "Bacterial small subunit ribosomal RNA", at positions 334 to 800 of the family's 1533-position model. The record is from RNAcentral.
CACUCCUGCGGGAGGCAGCAGUGGGGAAUAUUGCACAAUGGGCGCAAGCCUGAUGCAGCCAUGCCGCGUGUAUGAAGAAGGCCUUCGGGUUGUAAAGUACUUUCAGCGGGGAGGAAGGCAAUACGGUUAAUAACCGUGUUGAUUGACGUUACCCGCAGAAGAAGCACCGGCUAACUCCGUGCCAGCAGCCGCGGUAAUACGGAGGGUGCAAGCGUUAAUCGGAAUUACUGGGCGUAAAGCGCACGCAGGCGGUCUGUCAAGUCGGAUGUGAAAUCCCCGGGCUCAACCUGGGAACUGCAUUCGAAACUGGCAGGCUUGAGUCUUGUAGAGGGGGGUAGAAUUCCAGGUGUAGCGGUGAAAUGCGUAGAGAUCUGGAGGAAUACCGGUGGCGAAGGCGGCCCCCUGGACAAAGACUGACGCUCAGGUGCGAAAGCGUGGGGAGCAAACAGGAUUAGAUACCCGGGUAGUCCCAUGA